AACGAACGCUGGCGGCAGGCCUAACACAUGCAAGUCGAGCGGACCCUUCGGGGUUAGCGGCGGACGGGUGAGUAACGCGUGGGAAUAUGCCCUUCUCUACGGAAUAGUCCUGGGAAACUGGGGGUAAUACCGUAUACGCCCUUUGGGGGGAAGAUUUAUCGGGGAAGGAUUAGCCCGCGUUGGAUUAGGUAGUUGGUGGGGUAAUGGCCUACCAAGCCGACGAUCCAUAGCUGGUUUGAGAGGAUGAUCAGCCACACUGGGACUGAGACACGGCCCAGACUCCUGCGAGAGGCAGCAGUGGGGAAUCUCAGACAAUGGGGGGAACCCUGAUCUAGCCAGGCGGCGUGAGUGAUGAAGGCCGUAGGGUUGUAAAGCUCUUUCAGCUGGGAAGAUAAUGACGGUACCAGCAGAAGAAGCCCCGGCUAACUCCGU
Molecule: ribosomal RNA, 432 nt
Filed under: uncultured bacterium
Lineage: Bacteria
Description: partial 16S ribosomal RNA
Rfam family: Bacterial small subunit ribosomal RNA
Source: RNAcentral